RNAcentral lists this ribosomal RNA (731 nucleotides) under uncultured bacterium. RNAcentral describes it as "bacterial SSU rRNA". It matches the Rfam family "Bacterial small subunit ribosomal RNA", at positions 74 to 803 of the family's 1533-position model. The record is from RNAcentral.
AGCUUGCUCUGGUUCCUGAGAGUGGCGCACGGGUGCGUAACGCGUGAGCAACCUACCUCUAUCAGGGGGAUAGCCUCUCGAAAGAGAGAUUAACACCGCAUAAUAUAAUGUACCGGCAUCGGGAUAUUAUUAAAUAUUUAUAGGAUAGAGAUGGGCUCGCGUGACAUUAGCUAGUUGGUAGGGUAACGGCUUACCAAGGCGACGAUGUCUAGGGGCUCUGAGAGGAGAAUCCCCCACACUGGUACUGAGACACGGACCAGACUCCUACGGGAGGCAGCAGUAAGGAAUAUUGGUCAAUGGGCGGAAGCCUGAACCAGCCAUGCCGCGUGCAGGAUGACUGCCCUAUGGGUUGUAAACUGCUUUUGUCCAGGAAUAAACCUAGAUACGUGUAUCUAGCUGAAUGUACUGGAAGAAUAAGGAUCGGCUAACUCCGUGCCAGCAGCCGCGGUAAUACGGAGGAUCCGAGCGUUAUCCGGAUUUAUUGGGUUUAAAGGGUGCGUAGGCGGCCUAUUAAGUCAGGGGUGAAAUACGGUGGCUCAACCAUCGCAGUGCCUUUGAUACUGAUGGGCUUGAAUCCAUUUGAAGUGGGCGGAAUAAGACAAGUAGCGGUGAAAUGCAUAGAUAUGUCUUAGAACUCCGAUUGCGAAGGCAGCUCACUAAGCUGGUAUUGACGCUGAUGCACGAAAGCGUGGGGAUCGAACAGGAUUAGAUACCCUGGUAGUCCACGCCCU